Molecule: ribosomal RNA, 500 nt
Filed under: uncultured bacterium
Lineage: Bacteria
Description: bacterial SSU rRNA
Rfam family: Bacterial small subunit ribosomal RNA
Source: RNAcentral
GAUGAACGCUAGCGAUAGGCUUAACACAUGCAAGUCGAGGGGCAGCACGCUUUCGGGUGGUGGCGACCGGCGCACGGGUGAGUAACACGUAUGCAACCUACCCAUAACAGGGGGAUAACCCGGCGAAAGUCGGGCUAAUACCGCAUAAAACAGGGACACCGCAUGGUGAUAUUUGUUAAAGAUUAAUUGGUUAUGGAUGGGCAUGCGUUCCAUUAGGUAGUUGGUGAGGUAACGGCCCACCAAGCCAUCGAUGGAUAGGGGAACUGAGAGGUUUGUCCCCCACACUGGUACUGAGACACGGACCAGACUCCUACGGGAGGCAGCAGUGAGGAAUAUUGGUCAAUGGGCGAGAGCCUGAACCAGCCAAGUCGCGUGAAGGAAGACGGUAUUAUGUAUUGUAAACUUCUUUUGUGAGGGAAUAAAGUGAGGAACGUGUUCCUUUUUGUAUGUACCUUACGAAUAAGGAUCGGCUAACUCCGUGCCAGCAGCCGCGGUAAAAC